Molecule: ribosomal RNA, 492 nt
Filed under: uncultured bacterium
Lineage: Bacteria
Description: partial 16S ribosomal RNA
Rfam family: Bacterial small subunit ribosomal RNA
Source: RNAcentral
AGUGAACGCUGGCGGCAGGCCUAACACAUGCAAGUCGAACGGCAGCACAGUAAGAGCUUGCUCUUACGGGUGGCGAGUGGCGGACGGGUGAGGAAUACAUCGGAAUCUACUUUUUCGUGGGGGAUAACGUAGGGAAACUUACGCUAAUACCGCAUACGACCUACGGGUGAAAGCAGGGGAUCUUCGGACUUUGCGCGAUUGAAUGAGCCGAUGUCGGAUUAGCUAGUUGGCUGGGUAAAGGCCCACCAAGGCGACGAUCCGUAGCUGGUCUGAGAGGAUGAUCAGCCACACUGGAACUGAGACACGGUCCAGACUCCUACGGGAGGCAGCAGUGGGGAAUAUUGGGCAAUGGGCGAAAGCCUGAUCCAGCCAUACCGCGUGAGUGAAGAAGGCCUUCGGGUUGUAAAGCCCUUUUGUUGGGAAAGAAAAACAGCAGGUUAAUACCCCGCUGUUCUGACGGUACCCAAAGAAUAAGCACCGGCUAACUUCGUG